Long non-coding RNA from Scophthalmus maximus (turbot), 3840 nucleotides. RefSeq lists it as uncharacterized. The record is from RefSeq and is a predicted model, not a curated record. The transcript is spliced from 2 exons. Lineage: Eukaryota; Metazoa; Chordata; Actinopteri; Pleuronectiformes; Scophthalmidae.
AGGCCUUUAGGCAGCCGAUAAAGACAACUCCACGUUUGUUUUAGCUUUGCAGAUUAUACAAGGCUUUUAUAAGCAGCGGAUUCAUUCGCUUGUUGCCCAACUUGUUCUUCACGUCUUAUUUUCAAGUGGCAACAAAUCAAAAUGUCACAAGUCUUGCACAACUUAUCGAUCUUCUGGACUAACAUCCAGAUGGAGCCUGCAGUAGAACCAUUAGAACCUCUUUUGCACUAGAAGGGGCCAUUGUAUCCUAUAGGUGCAUCCAAUUUGAAGAGGACCCUGGGGAAGGCUAAGGACACUCUGGAGGGAUUAUAUAUCUGCUCUAGCCUUGGGAUGCUUUGGGACCCUUCAGUAGGAAGAAGAAGGGCCUAUCAAGUAAAUCAAUAACGGACUAAUUGAUGGAUAGAAAUGCACAUGAUGCUGAAUUCAACAUCUCACCCAUUAUAGCACAGGUAAUUUGGCAUUAAAAGCUGCUGCUCGACUGAAGAGAACAGUGACACAUACAGCACAGCACAGGAUGGACCAAUCAGACACUGCCCUGCAUCACUGUGUUCACUCUAUGGACUGAGUCAUAUUGACGAGGCUUAUCCUAACUAAAAGCUGUAGGUGAACGGAGAGGUGUGUGGACAGCAGCUUUCCACUCCCAGACAAUACAAGUCAAAGGAGUCAUGUAGCAAUAGCCCCAACACUAGACACGUGGAUUGGGCUAAUGGCCAUCAUGGAUGUAGUGGGAGGAGUGGAAAUCCAUUAAAAGGGUACUCAUAUAUACAGCUCAUUUACCAGACAUUAUCCAAGGCUGUGCUCUUAAGACCUGCAAACUGGCAGAUGUCUUCCUCAGGGAUGUGUGCUCAGCCCUGUGCUGUUCUCCCGAUUGAAAACACUUUCAUCAAUGUCACUGAUGACGUCACCCUCUUCGGUCACAUCACAGACAAAGAUGUCUAUUCCUACGGAGCAGCGGUGAAAGCACUGAUAUUGUUGUUGUCAGGAGAAUAGCCUCCUGCUCAGCAUCAGCAACACCAAGGAGCUAAUCAGGGACUACACACAGUUGCAGGGAGGGGGCAUCGGCCCGUACACCUUGAGGGAAGUGCAGUGGAGUCAACUACUUCCAGUUCCUGGGGAUUAUGAUCAGCGAAGACCUGAGCUGAUCAAGCCACACAGGUGUGAUCGCCAAGGCAGCGGGACGGCGGGAAAAAGGUUUGAGUUUUGACAGUGAUCUCAAGCCACUGGCACUGACAAUGAUGUUGUCCCGUCAGCUCAGUAAAUGCCUGCAUGUGUUGUUCUGGACAGCAUCGACCAACAGCAUUUAAUUGAUUACUUUAAAAGGCAUGUGUUGGCUUUUUUAACGUGGUAUGUUCAAUACAGCGGUGAGAGACGCGAAACAAACAUUUACUUCUAUGAAAUGUGAACUAUAUCCCGUUGAGGAGCACCAAACAUCUGAUAUUUUUUUCCCUGUAAAUUGCCAAAUUUCAGGAGUCAUAAAGUGUUUUGAGGAUUUUAGGUGCAACUUACUGAUGUGGGAGUUGUUAGAGGAGAGUUGGGUGGUCUCAUCCUGAUCCUUCACUGAUUGCAGGGCCAUAGGGGAGAAUCAGUUUAGUGCUCUCCACAGUCUAAUCAGGACCACGCAUGGGUUUUUGUCAUACAACUCAGCUCUGGAGAGGUACAACCUAAUGAAUAAAAAGAUUGUUUCAGCCUACUGAAAUCUGUUGAUUGCUCCAAAAACACGCAGCAGCAUAAUUAAGGCCUGUGUAGAUUUGUUAAGCAGGUCGGAUAUAUCAGAUAUGUUGACUCAUCCUUCCUACUUCUAAGUAGUUGUGAUUGUGAUGCCGUUGCUGGGAGGUGAAUGGGCCCAGGGGCCUCGGCAGUGACCUCAAUGGAGCUGAGAGUCAUGAAUGUAGAGAAUGCUUCAUCUCCAUAGCAGUACCGGAGAGAAACAACUGCUUGAGGAAGAGAGGGUGUGAAGGAAAAGUUAAGAUUAGCCUCUUAAGUGAUUAAAGCUCACACUGGUUUAACUGUUCUGAGUUAAGCUGCUGGUAUAAAUUAUGCUUGUAUGCAAUCCCUUUGGUUUGCAAAUCCUAGAACAACAAUAUUAUUCUGAAACAUUUAGACUAGAUUUUCUGUGUGCACGAUACACUCAGUUUAUUAAGUACACUCAGCCAAAACAAAUACGUAAUUUCAGGUUCUGCUGAGCAAUAAAGGUGAGCUAAAUGAAGUGGUAGACCAAAAUGUAUUCAGUAAUUCAUUUUUAUCUCUGCUUUGAAAGAAAAUCACUGCUUUGGACAACAACCUUGACAAACCCCGUUUGAGUCAAGCAGUGAUCAAUGUAACCUUGUGGAAACAGACAAGUGCAGCCUUCUGAAAAUACUUAUUAUCAUUCAGUUAUUUAAUCAUUCACAUAUCGCAAAAUAAUAAAAGAAUCCCUGUCAACAAAUGAGAGCAGGGAGGGAAAGCCCCAAUCGGCUUCAAGAGGUUUGGGGUGUUUCAAAAAGUCAUAUGUAAUUAAAUUAAAAAUUGUGUGGGUUAUAUCCUCCGACUGUAAGUGUUUUCUUGAAGAUUAAAGGCAAAUGCAACCACAGGGGUGUCAUCUUGUAGAGUAGGAGACAAGUUACAUCGUUUAUUUAGUUUCAUACAUUUUGCAUGUACAGACCUGUGAAAUGGGCAUAAACAGAGCUCUGAAGCAAAAGAGCAGAAAAACAGCUGAGUGUUUCUGGUUUACAUAAAAAAUAUAUCGUCCAAUGAACACGGAGCUGGGACAUGGCUGAACAAGAUUUACUUUCACUCUCAAAUAUUUCUGGGUUGUUUUUUGACAAGCUGCCAAGAGUCACUUAUCAAGGAGCCAGUAUAUUACAUCAGAAGUGCCUGUUGGAUGGUCAGAGGUUCAGAACCUCAGGCGGUGGGCCUGGUGGCUGGAGAGAACAGAACGGCCUUCAGAAGGUUGGCCCAGAGGCAGGACAGACAGAUGGGCGUCAGGUGGGCGUAAGAACCAGGCUGGUUCUCAGCAGAGACGAUGGCAAGCAAGGCAUGGGGUGGGACCCCCAACUUAUGAGCUGAUUGGACCUGAUCAGGGCACGGAGCAGUGGGAACUCCCUGGCACUGGACAAGGGAGACGACCAACAGCAUUCAGAGCUGCUUUCUCCCUAGGGGGUUUCCUGAAAGUCAGUCAGGCAGGAGGACCCAAGUACAGGCACCGAGGAGGAACCAGUUAAAUGAUUUAAUUAUGAGACUUGUAAUUUACAGGCAAGCGAACAGGAAAGCUGUGAGCACUAGAACACCAAAGUCCAGAAACCCAGGGGGACACGUGAAUGCAGGAAUGAUAAUGAGACAAACUGACAAUGACUGUGAUAUAUAGUCUUUGGCUGACGGCAGAUCACAAGCAGUUGAUGUGGGUUAGGCUUUUAGGGCUGAGAGAUUUUUAAAGAGUGAGGAGAUGGGAAGGGAAAGCCAGGUGACUGCACUGAAGGGAAACAAGGCAAGAUGGAACAGGAACCCUAACAAGAACAACUAUUAACACCGUUGAUUUAUGGCAUGGUAAGUCAACACAAUUAAUUUUGUUUUCUAAGAGUAACAAGGCCCAUUGUUCGCUUGCCUUGUCACAUAAAGGACCUACUUUUUCCUUAAAUGUAUGACUUGCUCAUGAAUCGCUGCAGAAUUGUCCAAAAUAAAAUGUAAUCCCUAAGAAAACCAUGCUGCUGAUGAAAAAAAAAAAGGGCACUUCUCGGGGACCGGUCUAUAAGUGUGUGCAAUUUGAGGCGGCUUGAUUGAGUUUAAGUGGACUGUUGGCCCUUGUCAGAGGUAUAUGCUUUGGCACUCAUUUAUUACCCUGAAUAAACAAUCAGUAAUAUUUAA